GGCAGUGACCCUUUGUUGACCAGGGGAGGCGCGACUCAGGAGAUGGAAAAAGAUUCACCCCCUCAAAAUGCACUGAGUGGGACGAGACAUAGAUUGAUAUGUAUACGUCAUAAAAUAUUUUACAAACGGGCAACAAACCCGAAAACGAGUGGGACAUCAGACCUCGUUUUUGUGAAAGGAAUGCGUCAGCGUCCAGAAAAGACCAGCAAGGACUGAUGGGGGUGAAUAGAGACCAAUAGGAAUCAGUAGAAACCAAUUGGAAUGCACCCCUGUGUGCCUCGAGGCCAGUGCUGGCCUCUCAGGGUGGGGCUGUGUCUUCAGACCCUCAGUCCUGUGCUGAGCUCUCUAACUGUGGUAGUGGCUUGAACUCCCCGGAUUGGUUCCAGCCUGUCAGGCUGUGGCUUCAGGCCCUGGGGCCGGUGCUGGCCUCUCUAGCAGUGGCUUCAGGCCCCAGGGCACGUGCUGGCCCUUUGGGCUGUGGCUUUAGGCCCUGGAGCUGGUGCUGGCCUCUCGAUGCCGUGACUCUGGCUUUAGGCCCAGGGCUGGUGCUGGCCUCUCAGGCUGGGGAUGAGUCUUCAGGAUGCAGCGCCAGUGCAGGCCUGCCUGCCUGUGGCUUCAGGCCCCGGGGUCUGUUUAGGCAUCUCGGGCUGUGGCUUUAGGCGCUGGGGUCGGUGCUGGCCUCUCUUGUGAUGGCUUUAGACCACAGGGCCCUCAUGCCUCUCUGGCUGAGGCUUUAGGCCCCGGGGCUGUGCUGGCCACUCAGGCGCUGCCUUUAGGCCCUAGAGCUUGUGCCGGCCUAGAACAACGUGCAUUUGAAAAUGGCUCAUGGAAGGAAAUGAAAGCAAGAGAGCACUGAGCUCUUCUGUGUGUUUCUUGGAUUGGGAUAGAGACAGGAGAGCGUGCUCAACCUCGUGUGGUUGCUUGUAUCCAGCAACAGCAGCCGCAGCUGAGAACAUCGUCACAUCUUUAUUAGGCACUCCUCCGUCUGUCUCUUUUUGUCUCUGUUUUCUGGAAUGCAGGCAUUUCUCUUUGUGGCCCACAAACUCUUUGUGCCAGGAUAACCAAGUAUGAAUUCUCACUGCUCUUUACCCUGCUCAAGAGAAGGUGGCUGUACUGUGAGGGCAGGUGGGGGCAGGGACG
RNAcentral lists this long non-coding RNA (1140 nucleotides) under Gallus gallus (chicken). Its description in RNAcentral is "lncRNA (ENSGALG00010000222.1)". Lineage: Eukaryota; Metazoa; Chordata; Aves; Galliformes; Phasianidae. The record is from RNAcentral.